Non-coding RNA from Paramisgurnus dabryanus, 192 nucleotides. The record is from RefSeq and is a predicted model, not a curated record. NCBI's taxonomy places the organism in Eukaryota, Metazoa, Chordata, Actinopteri, Cypriniformes, Cobitidae.
AGAAUACUGAUUCACGAGCUUUCAUUCCUGCAUUUGAGCUUCACUGAUCAGACUACAAUUGCUGCAUUUCUUACACUGGUUCCUUGUGUUUUGGCUUUUCUACAGAGAGCAGUUCAUAUAUCGGCUGUUACUUUGAUUGCACUUUUUCUGUGUUUUGCCUUCUACCAAUUUUUAGUUUAUAGAUAGAUACAU